AUACGGAGGGUGCGAGCGUUAAUCGGAAUCACUGGGCGUAAAGAACGCGUAGGCGGGUUGGCAAGUCAGAUGUGAAAUCCUACAGCUUAACUGUAGAACUGCAUUUGAAACUGCUAACCUAGAGUAUGGGAGGGGGAGAUGGAAUUAGUGGUGUAGGGGUAAAAUCCGUAGAUAUCACUAGGAAUACCGAAAGCGAAGGCGAUCUCCUGGAACAUAACUGACGCUAAGGCGUGAAAGCGUGGGGAGCAAACAGGAUUAGAAACCCUUGUAGUCC
RNAcentral lists this ribosomal RNA (274 nucleotides) under uncultured bacterium. RNAcentral's name for it is "partial 16S ribosomal RNA". It matches the Rfam family "Bacterial small subunit ribosomal RNA", at positions 523 to 796 of the family's 1533-position model. The record is from RNAcentral.